RNAcentral lists this ribosomal RNA (422 nucleotides) under uncultured bacterium. Its description in RNAcentral is "bacterial SSU rRNA". It matches the Rfam family "Bacterial small subunit ribosomal RNA", at positions 355 to 774 of the family's 1533-position model. RNAcentral also lists the same sequence under 1 other name. The record is from RNAcentral.
UGAGGAAUAUUGGUCAAUGGACGCAAGUCUGAACCAGCCAUGCCGCGUGCAGGAUGACGGCUCUAUGAGUUGUAAACUGCUUUUGUACGAGGGUAAACGCAGAUACGUGUAUCUGUCUGAAAGUAUCGUACGAAUAAGGAUCGGCUAACUCCGUGCCAGCAGCCGCGGUAAUACGGAGGAUUCAAGCGUUAUCCGGAUUUAUUGGGUUUAAAGGGUGCGUAGGCGGUUUGAUAAGUUAGAGGUGAAAUUUCGGGGCUCAACCCUGAACGUGCCUCUAAUACUGUUGAGCUAGAGAGUAGUUGCGGUAGGCGGAAUGUAUGGUGUAGCGGUGAAAUGCUUAGAGAUCAUACAGAACACCGAUUGCGAAGGCAGCUUACCAAACUAUAUCUGACGUUGAGGCACGAAAGCGUGGGGAGCAAACA